RNAcentral lists this ribosomal RNA (1493 nucleotides) under metagenome. RNAcentral's name for it is "bacterial SSU rRNA". It matches the Rfam family "Bacterial small subunit ribosomal RNA". The record is from RNAcentral.
AGAGUUUGAUCAUGGCUCAGGAUGAACGCUGGCGGCGUGCUUAACACAUGCAAGUCGAGCGAAGUACUCUGCUUUGAUUCUUUCGGGAUGAAGAGUAUUGUGACUGAGCGGCGGACGGGUGAGUAACGCGUGGGUAACCUGCCUCAUACAGGGGGGUAACAGUUAGAAAUGGCUGCUAAUACCGCAUAAGACCACAGCACCGCAUGGUGCAGGGGUAAAAACUCCGGUGGUAUGAGAUGGAUCCGCGUCUGAUUAGCUAGUUGGUGGGGUAACGGCCUACCAAGGCGACGAUCAGUAGCCGACCUGAGAGGGUGACCGGCCACAUUGGGACUGAGACACGGCCCAAACUCCUACGGGAGGCAGCAGUGGGGAAUAUUGCACAAUGGGGGAAACCCUGAUGCAGCGACGCCGCGUGAGCGAAGAAGUAUUUCGGUAUGUAAAGCUCUAUCAGCAGGGAAGAAAAUGACGGUACCUGACUAAGAAGCCCCGGCUAACUACGUGCCAGCAGCCGCGGUAAUACGUAGGGGGCAAGCGUUAUCCGGAUUUACUGGGUGUAAAGGGAGCGUAGACGGCGAGGCAAGUCUGAUGUGAAAACCCGGGGCUCAACCCCGUGACUGCAUUGGAAACUAUCUUUCUUGAGUGCAGGAGAGGAAAGCGGAAUUCCUAGUGUAGCGGUGAAAUGCGUAGAUAUUAGGAGGAACACCAGUGGCGAAGGCGGCUUUCUGGACUGUAACUGACGCUGAGGCUCGAAAGCGUGGGGAGCGAACAGGAUUAGAUACCCUGGUAGUCCACGCCGUAAACGAUGAAUGCUAGGUGUAGGAGGUAUCGACCCCUUCUGUGCCGGAGUUAACGCAAUAAGCAUUCCGCCUGGGGAGUACGGCCGCAAGGCUGAAACUCAAAGGAAUUGACGGGGGCCCGCACAAGCGGUGGAGUAUGUGGUUUAAUUCGACGCAACGCGAAGAACCUUACCAGGGCUUGACAUUGAGUGAAAGGACAAGAGAUUGUCCCCUCUCUUCGGAGACACGAAAACAGGUGGUGCAUGGCUGUCGUCAGCUCGUGUCGUGAGAUGUUGGGUUAAGUCCCGCAACGAGCGCAACCCCUAUCCUUUGUUGCCAGCACGUUAUGGUGGGAACUCAAAGGAGACUGCCGCGGACAACGCGGAGGAAGGCGGGGAUGACGUCAAGUCAUCAUGCCCCUUAUGUCCUGGGCUACACACGUACUACAAUGGGAUGGACAGAGAGCAGCGAAGCCGCGAGGCCAAGCGAACCCCAUAAACCAUCUCCCAGUUCGGAUUGCAGGCUGCAACCCGCCUGCAUGAAGUUGGAAUCGCUAGUAAUCGCAGGUCAGCAUACUGCGGUGAAUACGUUCCCGGGCCUUGUACACACCGCCCGUCACACCACGGAAGUCAUUCACACCCGAAGCCGGCAGGCUAACCUUUUGGAGGCAGCCGUCUAAGGUGGGGGCGAUGACUGGGGUGAAGUCGUAACAAGGUA